GAUGAACGCUGGCGGCGUGCCUAAUACAUGCAAGUCGAGCGAACAGACGAGGAGCUUGCUCCUCUGACGUUAGCGGCGGACGGGUGAGUAACACGUGGAUAACCUACCUAUAAGACUGGGAUAACUUCGGGAAACCGGAGCUAAUACCGGAUAACAUGUUGAACCGCAUGGUUCAACAGUGAAAGACGGUCUUGCUGUCACUUAUAGAUGGAUCCGCGCCGCAUUAGCUAGUUGGUAAGGUAACGGCUUACCAAGGCAACGAUGCGUAGCCGACCUGAGAGGGUGAUCGGCCACACUGGAACUGAGACACGGUCCAGACUCCUACGGGAGGCAGCAGUAGGGAAUCUUCCGCAAUGGGCGAAAGCCUGACGGAGCAACGCCGCGUGAGUGAAGUAGGUCUUCGGAUCGUAAAACUCUGUUAUUAGGGAAGAACAAAUGUGUAAGUAACUAUGCACGUCUUGACGGUACCUAAUCAGAAAGCCACGGCUAACUACGUG
This 497-nucleotide ribosomal RNA is filed under the name uncultured bacterium. RNAcentral's name for it is "partial 16S ribosomal RNA". It matches the Rfam family "Bacterial small subunit ribosomal RNA", at positions 28 to 507 of the family's 1533-position model. The record is from RNAcentral.